Molecule: unclassified non-coding RNA, 342 nt
Filed under: Hevea brasiliensis (rubber tree)
Lineage: Eukaryota; Viridiplantae; Streptophyta; Magnoliopsida; Malpighiales; Euphorbiaceae
Source: RNAcentral
GGAAGAAUCGUUAUUUUUAUGACUUGAAAUUUUGAUAUAUUUUUCAUAGACUCGAAUUGUAACCCGACCCGAAAGUUUUCACGUUACGACCCAAUUGGAAUAAAAAGUGAGAUCUAUGGUGAUAGCGGAGGGCACAGGCCAAUAAUAUUGUAAUAUUCUACCUUUUGCGAUAGAAUUGUGAGAUAUUCAGGAAACACACUGGAGGGUUAGGAUUUGAGAGUUCUGAUCGAUUGUGUCUUGCUCUUUUCAUGACAAUGAAACUUUUUCUCUUGUCUUACCCCAUGGACAUAGAUCUUACUAUUGAAUCACGUUAAAUCUUGUGUUAUUCUUCUUCUCUUUUCA